Mus musculus (house mouse) is the source of this 902-nucleotide long non-coding RNA. RefSeq annotates it as predicted gene, 30377. The transcript is spliced from 4 exons. The record is from RefSeq and is a predicted model, not a curated record. NCBI's taxonomy places the organism in Eukaryota, Metazoa, Chordata, Mammalia, Rodentia, Muridae.
CCCCCCCCCCCAUGCUUUGGCAGAGGGCAUCUUCCCUUGGUACUCUCUUCCGAGGCUUCAUUGUCCUGUUCUGCUCCCCUCUCCGGACUCCCCACAAAAGGUGUGAACAGGUCCCUCCAUCCUCUGGACAAGAGGCUGAAAAGCAAAUUGCUCCGGAAAGAACUGGUUUUGCAUCUUCAAGAAGAGUAGGAAGCCAAUAACCAGAGGGAAAACAAUUUUCUUAAGGAACCUUUGAGUUCUUCCAAGCCUGGAAAUUCGUUGAGUGAGUGGACGGACAAAUGAAUAAGUUGUUCCCACCAGGUACAGAGACAGGACUAGAUCCCUGUCCUUGUUUCCGAUGGAGAAGUCACCUCUGGGACAGCAUAUGAAUUGCCUCAGGUCACUCAGACCCAGCGGGCCGGGCAGGGUAAAAGCCACAGCAGCAAGUGCGCGCGCAAGACCUAGGGGCGUCCACGCCUUCCCUGUAGUUCCCCACGGUUCCCGCGCGACCGACGCCUGGAGAAGGCCUGGUGAGUCAAAUGACCCAGGAAAAGUCCCUGUCACACCUAGAAUCUCUAGAAAGCUAUUUCAGAGGAACCAGAACUGCAAGGCCCUAAGGAGACAGCUGAGCACAGAGGAACCGCCUACUGCGUGCAGAGGACAAGCAUCAGGCAUACGUACACCAUGUACAGAAGUGUCACCAGAAGCCUGGGCUCACGUCAAACUAGCCAUGUAGCUGAGGAUGGCCUGAACUCCUUAUUCUCCCGACAACAGCUCCUAAUCAGUUUCAUCAAUUUUUGUUGGGUUUGUCUCACUGAAGAACUUUGAACCGGACCCUAGUGAGCGGGGCUGUAGUGAGAGCCGGAGAGAUGGCUCAGCGGUUAAGAGCACUGACUGUUCUCCCAGAGGUCCUGAUUUCAAAU